CUUCAGUGAUGAUACGAUGACGAGUCAGAAGGGAUGUCCUUGUGCCACUGCAGCCUGGGCAGUGCCAUGUUCUGUGGUGCUGUGCUAAGGCUGCCUUGGGCAAGUUAAUCCCACUCAUUGGAUGAUCUAGAGGCAUUUGUCUGAGAAGG
This 149-nucleotide small nucleolar RNA is filed under the name Colius striatus (speckled mousebird). Lineage: Eukaryota; Metazoa; Chordata; Aves; Coliiformes; Coliidae. The record is from RNAcentral.